CCUACGGGUGGCAGCAGUGAGGAAUAUUGGUCAAUGGACGAGAGUCUGAACCAGCCAAGUAGCGUGAAGGAUGACUGCCCUAUGGGUUGUAAACUUCUUUUAUAAAGGAAUAAAACGAGGCACGUGUGCCUUUUUGCAUGUACUUUAUGAAUAAGGAUCGGCUAACUCCGUGCCAGCAGCCGCGGUAAUACGGAGGAUCCGAGCGUUAUCCGGAUUUAGUGGGUUUAAAGGGAGCGUAGAUGGGUUGUUAAGUCAGUUGUGAAAGUUUGCGGCUCAACCGUAAAAUUGCAAUUGAUACUGGCAGUCCUGAGUACAGUUGAGGUAGGCGGAAUUCGUGGUGUAGCGGUGAAAUGCUUAGAUAUCACGAAGAACCCCGAUUGCGAAGGCAGCUUACUAAACUGUGACUGACAUUGAUGCUCGAAAGUGUGGGUAUCAAACAGGAUUAAAUACCCGUGUAGUC
This 460-nucleotide ribosomal RNA is filed under the name uncultured bacterium. RNAcentral describes it as "partial 16S ribosomal RNA". It matches the Rfam family "Bacterial small subunit ribosomal RNA", at positions 338 to 795 of the family's 1533-position model. The record is from RNAcentral.